CAUUUCUUGAUGUUAUUAGCGAUGGACCCCAAAUACCUGCAAAAACUAAUUUUAAAGGUGAUGUAUAAACAAUGUCAGUAUAGAAAAAUGCAAGCUAUGAAUUUUUGCAACCGAACAAAUUUCACAAACAUGAUCAGGAUUGAUAUUAGAAGAGAUGAAAAUAGAACAUCGUUUAAGCGUUGUCUCAACAGUGUUUAUUGCAUAGUGGCUUAAUCGUUUAUGCCAUAAGUCAAUAGUAGGUGUCUUAUUAUAACUAUAAGCUAUAGUGCUACAUCCAUAACCAUUUUGAAGGUCAGAAUUAUUUGGUUUAAAGACAAAAUGAUUAGGAAAUCUAUAGACAAAACUAAUGUGAUGCUUAUUUGUACUUGAUAUAGCACAUAGAUCAGAAUGUAUUGUAGAAAUCGGUUUUGGCACAUAGAGAUGAUCAAAAGUAUAGAUUCCAUUUUUAACUACGCCUUGGAAAAGAUGCUCCCGAGUAGCUUGAUCACGAAUGACAACAAAAUCAGGCCAAAUUCAAAGAAAACUCGAUUAUCGGCAGCAAAUUUUAAAACACUCAUGAGAUUAUGUGUAAUUUCAAGAACUAGUAACAAAUUAUUCAAAUGAAAUACAAUCUUUUUAGAAAGAUCCGUUAUAAUAGAACAAUCUUUACCAGUGAUACUAAUACCUGUGCCAUUUUCCACAAACAAUUGAUCUGAACUUGCUUGACUUGAGCAUGAAGUUAACAAAUUAAAGAGUCAUGAGUUGUAUGGUGGCUAUCACCAGAAUUUAGAAGCCACGCAGCUUCACUUAUAGAGGAAAGGAUAGAAAUACAUGCUCUUGGAUGAUGGAAGGAGAGUGGUGGUGGUGGUGGAGGUUGAGAAUUGCCAUAUGAAAUUGGACGUUGGAAAUUAUAGUUGUUUGUUGGUGGGGUAAAGGAAAAUUCAAAGCAAUGGUAGCAGCUCCAAAUGACAUGGCCAAAUCGGUCACAAAGUUGGCAUUGAGGUUUAUUAUUUGUGAAACCAAAUAUUCCUCUUUCUCUUGAGUUUCGACCCCCUGUACCUCGACAUCCAUAACCACCUCUAGUAUCAUGAAAUGACAUUGAUGAUUGAGCAAAAUUAGCUAUAUGCAUUCCUGAGUCAGAUUUCUUGAAUCUUUCCAGCAUAUUUUCAUAUGCUAAAAGGUAGUUUUCCACUUCUAUAACACGAUAGGAACCUAAUUUAGACAUAACAGUGCCUAUGUAAACAUUGUAUUCCUCAGAAAGCCAUCAAGAAUGGCUUAGAUGUGAUCAUCUUCAAGAACAAUACCGAUAGCAAAGAAAGAAUCAACAAUCAUUCUUAUUUGAGCUAAGUAGUUAAAAGCAAAAGCUAUUUUCUUGGUGGAUUUCAACUACGAUUUCAAUGAUUGUACUCUUGCAUUUGAUGCGACUGUAAAGUAAGAAUUAAUUUUGCCCCAAAUUUCAUAGAACCAACCUGAGCCAAGGAUCUUGUUUCAAAAGAUUGGAGUCAUAGAUGCUACAAUCCAUGUAGAGAGAGCAAGAUCCUGAAGCUUUCAGGCCUUGUAAAAGUCAGAUUCAGAUUGUAUCUUCUUGGUUGGACCAGUGAUGAAUUGUUCAGGUACCUUUUUCUGCAUAAAGAUGAUCUUCCAUUCCAAUGUUUUGAAUGGUAAGAAGAGCUUGAUAACGCCAUGUGGAGUAAUUAUUUUCGUUCAGUUUAUCAGGAAUUGGGGAGAAAGGUUUCUUGUUUGAUAAAUCGGUGAGUGAGAUCUCAAUUAAAAGAGCAAACAAGAAGAAGAUUCAGCUACAUAGGGAUGGAGGGAGGGAUAAGAGAGGAUUUAAAUACCAAUUAAGGGAAUUGAAUUCAACUAUUUUCUAUAUCAUCCAGUAAUACUCAUAACAUGACCACAAGAUCUAAAGCUAAACAAAACUUCUCUAUUGCUUUAAUUGUCUCUAAACUUGUUGCGUUUGAUCUUAUAAAUAAUAUACCAAAAAAUAUAAAAUAGACUCUACAUCUCCUCAUUGGGAAGCUACUAUAGAUCAGGAGUAUAAGGCCUUACUAAAAUCUAGACCCUGGACACUUAA
Arachis ipaensis is the source of this 2056-nucleotide non-coding RNA. The record is from RefSeq and is a predicted model, not a curated record. NCBI's taxonomy places the organism in Eukaryota, Viridiplantae, Streptophyta, Magnoliopsida, Fabales, Fabaceae.